This is a long non-coding RNA of Brienomyrus brachyistius, 995 nucleotides long. RefSeq lists it as uncharacterized. Lineage: Eukaryota; Metazoa; Chordata; Actinopteri; Osteoglossiformes; Mormyridae. The transcript is spliced from 5 exons. The record is from RefSeq and is a predicted model, not a curated record.
GAACCACAGGAGAGGUGUGAGACUGUGCAAGGUGCUCGAGCCACAGGAGAGUCGUGAGAAUGUGCAAGGUGCUACGACCCACAGGAAAGGCAUGAGAAUGUUCAAGGUGCUCGAGCCACAGGAGAGUCGUGAGAAUGUGCAAGGUGCUACGACCCACAGGAGAGGCAUGAGAGUGUGCAAGGUGCUACGAGCCGCAGGAGAGGCGUGAGAGUGUGCAAGGUGCUACGAGCCACAGGAGAGGCGUGAGAGUGUGCAAGGUGCUACGAGCCGCAGGAGAGGCGUGAGAGUGUGCAAGGUGCUACGAGCCGCAGGAGAGGCGUGAGAGUGUGCAAGGUGCUACGAGCCGCAGGAGAGGCGUGAGAGUGUGCAAGGUGCUACGAGCCGCAGGAGAGGCGUGAGAGUGUGCAAGGUGCUACGAGCCACAGGAGAGGCGUGAGAGUGUGCAAGGUGCCAAGAGUUGCAAUAGAGGCGUGAGAUUGUGCAAGGUGCUAUAAGGUGCAGGAGAGAUGUGAGAGUGUGCAAGGUGCUAUGAGCUGCAAUAGAGGCGUGAGAGUGUGCAAGGUGCUACGAGCCACAGGAGAGGCGUGAGAGUGUGCAAGGUGCCAAGAGUUGCAAUAGAGGCGUGAGAUUGUGCAAGGUGCUAAAAGGUGCAGGAGAGGCGUGAGAGUGUGCAAGGUGCUACAAGCAGCAGAAGCAGUGUGAAAGUGUGUAAAUGUGCAUGAACAUAUCAAGAGCGUUACCUUCGUUUCCGUCGUCCGUUUUUAAAGCUGGAUUCUGAAAGACAUUGCAUUUCCCAUUACAAUGUUAUCUUUUUGUCUGAUGUUAUUGUCACACUAUGCUGUGUGAGCCUCCUCCUCCCUGCUUUGUGUCAUAUUCCCAGAGAAUGGUGCUGCGGGUCACCAGGUGCCCUGCGCUGUUGCAAACAGCUCUGCUCCUGCAUUGCCAUGGCAACCACAGCCAGGAGAAGAUUGUUCAGAAGCCAGCCUACACGUGCC